Brassica napus (rape) is the source of this 7742-nucleotide long non-coding RNA. RefSeq lists it as uncharacterized. NCBI's taxonomy places the organism in Eukaryota, Viridiplantae, Streptophyta, Magnoliopsida, Brassicales, Brassicaceae. The transcript has 2 exons. The record is from RefSeq and is a predicted model, not a curated record.
UCUAUGUAAAUAUUUUUUCCUUGUAAAAUUAUAAAUUAAUACUAUUUAAAUAUAUAUAUUUCAUAAAAGCACAAACAAACAUUGUAUUAUUUGUUUUAUUUCCACAAUGGAAUUCAUGUCUAUUUUUUCUUAAUCUUAAAUAUAUUUUGAUAAUAUUUAGUUAAAUUAUAUCUAAAAACCAUAUUCGAGUCAUAUGAAACAUAUUUCAUAUACACCAAAUAAUAUAAUAAAAAUAUCAGAGUCUAGUUUCUAAAAUUUAAUUAAUGUAUAUACAGUAAAACUAAUAUUACAUGUUUGAUUUUGGAAAAUAGGCACCAUAUGUUAAAAUUAUAACAAUUGUGAAAGCUUAGAAAUGUACCACUCUACUUAAGCAAUUAAAAAGUUGGGUCAAAUCAUACUCAAAAGAAAGACUAAUAAUUGACAUGGAACAGAUUAAUCAUAGCCUUAUUUCCAUGUUCACGGUUGCACUUGCAGUUGCGCUGAGCUUGGAACAUAAGGGCACACAAAUGGGCACUAGAAUACCGGGAGCACAAAUACAAAUUUGUUGUGUUUUCUAUGAUUCAGACCUCUCCCAUAUUCACAGACUUGAAAUAUUUUAUCGUGUCCAAGUAUGUUAGCUCUUUGGUUGUAACGGAUCUCAGUCCGUGUCCACCAUUGUCUAGAUCGACAAGCACAGCAACUUUCCUCGUCAAUGAAGAAACUCCCAGCUAGACCAUCAACAUUAAAAAUAGAGAUGGACCUCAAUAACUUGCUCCAUGAAACUGCGUCUUGAUUAAUCUUAUUUGUGAUCCAAAUCUCCAAUGCCGGACCGUUCACCCAGCUUUCCUGUAAGACCGCAAGCUGCUCCUCUCUAACAAAAGAUAACGACACAAAUAUAUCUACACUAUGAGCGUUAAAUGGUGGAGGCAGCCGCUUACCAAAUCUCUUUGUUGUAAAAUCAAAAGAGAUUAUAUCCUCAAUAUUAUUUCUUUUACCCACUCUCAUCCUCUUUUUAGCUAAAAGAUGAGUAUUCCUUUCAGAGACACGCCAUUUUGAUAAAAAUCUAUAUUUAUUUCAGUAAAAAUAAUGCGUGAUUAUGAAAAAUUUCACUGAUAGAUUUGUGUACAUGUAAAGGGUAUAUGUUUUCUCUUUUAACUAUCUAAAAUGCUGCAUUUCGUGCUUUGAUUUUAUUAGUCGUCUAAUUUGGGUUUAUAUAUGUUUUUCAGUUCUAUUUUCCAGGACAAGUGUAGUUUACUAUAAUGUAGUCCAGUUUUGUUAUAUCAGGCUAUGUCGAGAUGACUGUUGCAGUAACCGAGUCAGUGUUGAAGAAGAGAAUGAGCGAGGACGGAACAUUCUAAUGCACCCUAAUUUCAUAUGUUGAAUGAGCUAGGUCCAUAUGUUGGAUCCAAUUGGUGUCAAAAUGUAUGCCUUCUCUAUGAUAACAUUCUGAUGCACCUUGGUAGAUUUGUGUACAUGUAAAGGGUAUAGGUUUUCUCUUUUUACUAUCUAAAAUGCUACAUUUCGUGCUUUGAUUUUAUUAGCAGUCUAACUUGGGUUUAUAUACAUUUUUCAGUUCUAUUUUCCAGGACAAGUGUAGCUUAAUAUAGUGUAAUCCAGUCUUGUUAUAUUUGGCUAUGUCGAGAUGACGGUUGCAGUAACUAAAACUGUUGUUCCCGAGUCAGUGUUGAAGAAGAGAGUGAGGGAGGACGGAACAUUCUAAUGCACCCUGAAAAUCAUAAGUUGAAUGAGCUAGGUCCAUAUGUUGGAUCCAAUUGGUGUCAAAAUAUAUGCCUUCUCUAUGAUAACAUUCUGAUGCACCUUUGGUUCCAGGGGAUAGGGAAGCAUGACAUCAUCUAUGUGGACGAUCUGAUCCCACAUUUCGUAGAACAUUUGUGUUAAAAAGUGUGCCUAUAUGAGGCCUAGGCUAGAGGUGAAGUUACUUGGACCCGGCGGUGAUUGUGGAAGUUGAUGAGAUAAAAUUGAAGAAGAUUUUGGAGGAGAUGGGGCUGGUGAAUUGUUUGUGGAAGUUGAAGAGUAUAAUUAUGAUGAUGAAUGGAUUUUUAGUUUUAAAGUUUGUUUUCAGCUUGUUUUAUGAAAACUUUAUUUUAAAACUUGUUUGAAUAGUUUAUUGUUCCGUUGUUUUCUAUUACCUAAAUACUUUUUUGACAUUUGAAAGUACACGCUUCAGUUCUUAAACUUGGAAAAUUUAAACAAUUUACACUAGCAGAAGUUCAGUCACAUGAUUCAGAAGUAAUCGUUAAGAGGAGAAAAACAAAAACAAGUAAAAAUUAACAACUAACAACGCAAUACAAAUUAUUUAAACUUCAAAAUAAAAUAACAUUUUUUAAACUUAAGAAGCAAACGUAUUUGUAAUUAAACUACAAAAGCAAUUGUGAUAACAUAAAACAUAAAUAUUGACCAAAUACCAAAAACAUAUAUUAAACUAAAUAUUUGAGUUAAUUAUUCUUGUAAUAGAUAAUCAUUUUAGGUAUUCAUUAAUAUCUUGUAUAUUUUUGGUAUAUUCAGAUAUUUAUUUGAGUUUGGGUUUGGUUCGGGUAAAACUCAUAAUCCAAAAUACCGUAGAACAAGACUCAUUCGGUAUUUAUGUCGGAUUUGGUUUGGAUUCAUUUUUAUCGGAUCGGGUUUGGUUCUUGUUUUUGGAUUCGGUUUAUUCGCCUAGUUAUGUAUCAAAUUAAAAAAAUUGUGUCAGUUAUAAUAUAUGUCAAUAUAUUUUGGAUUAUGUUUUAAAUAAGUUAUAAAUAGAAUAUGCAAUGUAUUAUGGAUUAUGGAUUAUGGAUUAUUUUAAAUAAGUCACUCAUAAAAAUCCAUUAGAGUUAAUUUCAAAUGAUUAUAUAUAAGAAUAUGUGCAAAGUCAUUUAGAGGUGAGUAUUCAAUCAUUAAUUCUAAAUUUUACUAUAUGAUAUAUAGGUUUAUAAUUUAAAAGAUUAAAAACUGAAAUCAUUUUUAAUGAAAUUAUGUGUACGAAUUACAAAUUAUCUAUAAUAUAUCUUAGAUUUUGUAUUUAAUCAUUUACUCAUGAAAUCUAUUAGACUUAAUUUCAAAUGACACCAUAUAAUAAUCAUUUAGUUUUGAAUAAAAUGAUUUUUAAUGAACUAUUUGAGCUUAACUGAAGAACACUAUAUUUAGAAAUCUAUGACACAUGAUUUACAAAUUAAAGAUCGGAUAACAUUUAGUUCUAAAACAAAAUCUAAAAUCAUUAAAUGAAUAAUACCAAAUUAUGGUUAAAUUUAAACUUUUAAAAGUCCAUCAUUAUAUAGCACCUCUUUAGUUUUAAAUACGUUAAAUUAGAUUUUAGUAACACUGAAUUUUAAAAUAUAUUAAAUAUUUACAAAAUACAAAAUCCAAUAAUAGUAAAUUUUAAAUCAAUUUCAUUAAUAGAAAAAGCAACAUAUAGUCGUUAGAUUUGGACUAUAUUAAAAUCCUCUUUCUCUUUUUUUAAACAAAGAACAUUUAUUCUUAAACUCCCUCAUAAAAAUGUCUUUGAAUCAUAAAUACAUCACUGAGAGAGCUCUGCAUCAUCCUAUUGCAAUAUAUAUAUCUCACUGUUGGAUUUAAUUCUUGUUACAGCAAUCAAACGUAGUAAAAAACUAGAAUUUCAACCAAUAGGAUCACUCUAAAACGAAAAUAAAAGAAGGCAGUCGAUUGAAAAAUCAUAGUGUCUCUGAGAACUUGAAACUUAGCAAAACAAUCAUCAUCAUCAUUAUAAUCAACAUCAGCUGCGAAGACAAUGGGCAAGUAGGUUAACGUGAGUAGCUUCCAGCCUGGGGUGAACGCAAUGGAGGUUAGCAGCUUUUCGAGAGUAUCACUGGUUUGGAAACUAUUCACGAGAUCAGGCUUAAAGAGACUAAGGGUGGUCGUGACAAAAAAAAAAAAAAAAAAAAAGAGACUAAGGGUGGUGGUAAAUUUUAUGCGUUGGUUCAAUUUACACAAGAGACACAUGCGAAGAAACUCCUCACGUGAUCCACCGAAGUCAACACACCCUAUUGUCUACGAAAAACUGAACCAACAUGUUGAUGAUGAGUAUGAGAAGUUAAACUUCAGCAGAGAUGGGUUUGAUGAAUGGAUAAAAACUACAGAUUUUACAUCAUGUUCUCUAACUUACAUCAUGUUCUCUAACUGGUUAGUCAUCUGCCAUUAUUUUAAAGUUUCCCUAUGAGCGCAAGGUUGAUUUCAAAAAUAAUCAACCAUUUUCACUAUAUAUUAUCUUACUAUGGAAUCGGGGUUUUCAUAUUCAUCAAAUACCAACAGCCUUGCCCUUGUUGUUGAUCCACCUCCAAAAAUCGAUUUGCCUUUUGAGAUUUUGUUUAGUGUUAAUUCAUUGGUGCAUGAUGCGUGUUUUCCUGCCACAAGUCUUGAUAUUGAGUUUUAUCUGUUUCUUGAUCCCAAAACACAAGACAGGGCGCAUUCAUUGAUUAUGCUAUUCAAAAGUUAUUGUGCCUUGGAAAAAUUUCGUAUGCUCAUGUUGCUUGGCUCACCCAAGAGUACUCAGAAUGGAAGAAGAAAGAAAAGCCUAUGCAAGCGAUUUUAGAAUAUAAACUUGGACUUUUUAAUAUACCUAGGGUUAAAGUUACACCAACUAGAGUGUACUUCUCUGGACCGGAGCCUUAUGAGUCAAAUCGUGUCUUUAGAUACUAUGACGAAAUUGUUGAUAUACUCUAAAGACUAGAUUUGACUCAUUAGGCUUCAGUCCAGAGAAGUACACUCGCGUAGGUGUAAUUUUGACCCUACGUAUAUUAAAAAGUUCACGUUGAUAGUCCAAAGUUGAUUUCGUAGGCUUUUCUUUCUUCCCCCAUUCCAAGGACUCUUUGGUUAGCCAAGCAACAUGCUCAUAGGAACAUUUUCCAAGGCAUAAUAACUUUGGAAGAGCAUAAUCAAUGAAUGCUCUGUCGUGUGUUUUGGGAUCAAGAAACUGAUAAAACUCAGUAUCAAGACUUGUGGGAGGAAGACAUGCAUUCUGCACCAAUGAAUUAACAUUGAACAAAAUCUCAAAAGGCAAAUCAAUUUCUGGAGGUGGAUCAACAACAGGGGAAAGGCUGUUGGUAUUUGAUGAAUAUGAAAACUCCGAUUCCAUAGUAAAGAUAAUAUAAGGGGAAACUGUUGAUUAUUUUUGAAAUCAACCUUGCGCUCAUAGGGAAACUUUAAAAAAAAUGGCAGAUGACUGACCAAUUAGAGAACAUGAUGUAAAAUCUGUAGUUUUUAUCCAUUCAUCAAAUCCAUCUCUGCUGAAGUAUUACUUCUCAUACUCAUCAUCAACAUGUUGGUUCUGUUUUUCAUAGAUUUUGGGACCUCCUUUUAACUGAAUCAAAAGAAGCUUUGAAGCCUUUUCUUGUGAGAGAUGCCAAUUGAUUUGCCUGAUGUUCUCAAAAGGUAUCUUCAUUCGGUAGUUUCACCCAAAUGCACCGAGAAAUGCAGGUUAUGGUUGCCACUUCCAAAAGUACCACAAGCACUGAACAGAUAUCUGAGUUUCUCGGGUGAACCAAAAAAUACAAAGUACAUGAGUAAACCAUCAACAUCAUGUUCCAUUGAAUCUCUGUCUUUACUGUCAGUUUCAUCUUUCCAUUCAUAAAAUUUGAGACGAUAGGGUGUGUUGACUUUGGUGGAUCGCGUGAGGAGUUUAUUCCCAUCUGUCUCUUGUGUAAAUUGAACCAACGCAUAAAAUUUACCACCUGGUCAACAGGAGUUUCUUGGCUUAAAGAGACUCAGCCAAGUAUGCGGCUAGGCUGGGACAAUCUUUCGGUUCUUCUAAAGAGACGCUCAAAGUCAAAGCUGAUGACAUUGAGCUAAUUCCUGAUGUGGAGAUCUUCUCUUUAGAGAAACGCUAUCCAGAGAACGGCAAGGAAUAAUGAAUUCCCUAACGUUCCCUACCAUUCACGAGGAAUAAAUUUUUCUUCUCGUUCCCUGCCAUUCCUUUUUUUGUAGAGAAAGAACAAAAGUAUUCCUUGUUAAAUUUGAGAAAGAACAACCAUUCUUUUUCAUUCUUGCAAUUUAUUCCUUUACGUUUAUUUUCUAUUCGUUUCUCUUGUUUCCAGAAUGGUCACCAGUCGAACCAAUAGAGUUUUCAUAUGGAAUUGGCAAGAUAUCUUCUGAGUUUGCUGAACUUGUGGCUAGGAAAUGCAACAUCAAAGGGGAUUCUCCAUCGAUCUGCUUUUGAAAUUAGACAUGGAGGGUACAAAGGAGCUUUGAGCUUGUGUGUAGAGACUAAUUCUACACAUUGUUUUGCAUUACAAAUUUUAUCACAUCAAUUUUUUUAUUAUUUAUUUAUAAAUUGCUCCAUGAAACUGCGUCUGGAUCAAUCUUAUUUGUGAUCCAAAUCUCCAAUGACGGACCGUUCACUCAGCUUUCCUGUAAGACCGCAAGCUGCUCCUCUCUAACAAAAGAUAACGACACAAAUAUAUUUACACUAUGAGCGUUAAAUGGUGGAGGCAUUAUAUCCUCAAUAUUAUUUCUUCUAUCCACUCUCAUCCCUCUUUAGCUAAAAGAUGAAUAUUCCACAAGGCAAAGCUCGUAGGAAGAAGAAGCUUAGGAGUAAUGAAGUUUUGGAAUUUCAGGAGAAUAAAAAACAGAAUAAAUUUGUUCAUGAGUUAAUUCUUUUAUAGGUUGCACAUUGUUGUAAAAAAGGCCUUUUAAUUAAAUUUAACGUUCAAUUAAAAAAGAAAGAAAGAUCAGUAUUCCUUUCAAAGACACGCCACUUUGAUAAAAAUCUAUAUUCCAGUCGAGAUUGACGUUAAAACCUUCCAUGAAUUAGAGCUCAAAUCGUAUAUUUCAGUAAUAAUAAUGUGUGAUUAUGAAAAAUAUCAAUGAUAGAUUUGUGUACAUGUAAAGGGUAUAGGUUUUCUCUUUUUACUAUCUAAAAUGCUACAUUCCGGGCAUUGACUUUAUUAGCAGUCUAACUUGGGUUUAUAUACGUUUUUCAGUUCUAUUUUCCAGGACAAGUGUAGUUUAAUAUACUGUAAUCCAGUUUUGUUAUAUUUGGCUAUGUCGAGAUGACUGUUGCAGUAACCAAAACUGUAGUUCCCGAGUCUGUGUUGAAGAAGAGAGUGAGGGAGGACGGAACAUUCUAAUGCACCCUGAAAAUCAUAAGUGGAAUGAGCUAGGUCCAUAUGUUGGAUCCAAUUGGUGUCAAAAUAUAUGCCUUCUCUAUGAUAACAUUCUGAUGCACCUUGGUUUUCAGGAGAUAGGGAAGCAUGACAUCAUCUAUGUGGACGAUCUGAUCCCACAUUUGGUAGAACAUGUGUGUUAUAAAGUGUGCCUAGACGAGCCCUAGGCUAGAGGUGAAGUUACUUGGAGCCGGCGGUGAUUGUGGAAGUUGAUGAGAAUGAAAUUGAAGAAGAUUUUGGAGGAGAUGGGGCUGGUAAAGUGUUUGUGGAAGAUGAAGAGUAUAAUUAUGAUGAUGAAUGGAUUUUUAGUUUUAAAGUUUGUUUUCAGCAUAGUUGACUUAUUUUAAAUAGUUUAUUGUUCCGUUGUUUUCUGUUACCAAAAUACUUUUUUGACAUUUGAAAGUACACACUUCAGUUCUUAAACUUUGGAAAAUUUAAACAAUUUACACUAGCAGAAGCUUAGUGACAUGAUUCAGAAGUAAUCGCUAAGAGGAGAAAAACAAAAACAAGUAAAAAUUAACAACUAACAACGCAAUAAAUUUAUUUAAACUUCAAAAUAAAAUCACAUUGUUUAAACUUAAGAAGCAAACAUAUUCGUAAUUAAACUUCAAUGCAAUUGUCAAAACAGAAAAAAACAAAAAUAUU